Phalacrocorax carbo (great cormorant) is the source of this 3575-nucleotide non-coding RNA. The record is from RefSeq and is a predicted model, not a curated record. NCBI's taxonomy places the organism in Eukaryota, Metazoa, Chordata, Aves, Suliformes, Phalacrocoracidae.
GCCGGUGCGGAGCUGCUUGCUGCUCCUUUCCGCUUGCUGCACAGCAAGUUUUCGCCCGUCCCCGGUGCUGCGCUGCCGAGGGAAGAGCUCGGCUCUGCCGGCCGCCGCUCGCCGGGCUGAGGGGCUGGGGGUUGGCGCUGCUGCUCCCCUCGGUACGGCUUUCCCCGCCUCGGGUCCAGUGCUGCCCGAGGACGCCGGCGCCCCGUAUCGAACCGAGGAUACCCCGCCCCGCCGUGGCGAUCGGCCCCGCCGGGCCGGGGGGAAGGCGGCGAGAGUCUACGGCCGGCAGCGCCGCCGCGGCGGGGCCCCGGGAGCGGCCAGGGACGCCUCUGCUCGCGCUUUGAACCCCUGCGCAUUGAAAACCUGUGGAAACAGAGGUGACUCCUGUCUGCAGCGGGGAAGCUGCCCUGAGGGGUGAAGGGAUUAAUCUAGCUGAGGUAACACCAGGAGCCUGCGGAGGAUCAGAAAAACAAAUCCUGGUUUGCAGUCAUCCCAGCGCUUGAUCUAGCCGCAGGACCAUCAUUCUUGCUCUUACAACGAGCACGUGUUCCUAAGUACCUGGGUAUUCAAGGGCAGAAGUGAAUGCUCAGAACUGUUUGGAUUAAGAUUACACUUGCCAUGUUUAUUUGCAAGUGAGACCUCAUCAGAGAGAAUCAAAAUGAAAAAAUGGAAUUAGUUCAUCAAUGAAUGGGGACGAGCUGAGAAAAAACUACUGUGGAGCUCACAGAAGAACAUGGAAAACAUCAAAAGAGGGCUGCUUAGUCUGCCUGGAGAACAAGUAAAUUACACAUGCCCCUAUCACAGCCACUCCAGUCACCAUGGCUACCAGGAGAGGGUAGGAAGAAGUAGUGAAGAUACAGGCAAUGAUCAGAAGGUAGCCGUACAAUGGAUUUCAGUCUCUUCGUUGGGAAUUGCUCCUGAAGUGGAAGUGUCCAAGACGUGAAUGUCUGAAUGUUUUAGUGCAACCCACAUUUGCUGAUCACAGCUGGGUUCAAUGGCAGCUGCCAAAUGUGGUUACAACUAUGAAGGGAUGUUGGCAGGCAGGAGAUGCCACCCUGGGCUCACUUCCAGCCUAAGGGAAAAAGUUCCAUGAGCUGAAUGGGCUUUCUAGCUAUGUGGCAAAUGCAGACUGAGCCCAGAGUGAAGAUUUUUUUUUUUUUUAAUAUUGUUGAAAUAGCUUUCCCUUAUGCCUUCAUCACCACAAAUAAUACAUAAAUAAAAAUAAAACUCUUUUCAAAGUGCUAACGAUCAAUAUUUUAUAAUUUGCUUAUUAGAAACUGUUUAAGUCCUUUAACAGAUUAAAAAAAACAAUUGUGAAUUAAACCCUAAAUUAGAAUUACAAGGAUAAGCUUCAGUCUUUAAGCCAUUGUUUUGGUUUCUAUUUUGGUGGCAAUGCAAUAAUAGUAGAAUAAUAACAGCAUAAUAAAAACUCAAGUGCUCUGAGCUUGCAUUGCAAAUACUUUUUAUUUUACUCUGGGACAUCUUUAAGAGCUCUUGGAUAUUACUUCUUAUUUUGGUAAAGAAGUUAGAAGUCAUAUUUUUUGCCUCUAACAUCUGCAAUUCAUCUAGUAUUGAUUCACAAAUAUAUAUUCUUUUUAUAAGUAAUAGUACAGAUAUUUUUGAAGACAUUUACAAUCUUGUUUGAAAGUUAUCCUGAAAGACUAAGUACAGAUAGUGUUUACAGCCAUUCUAUGCUUUAUUGCCACAAAUAGCCAUAUGACCCAAUUUGCACUAGGAAUGUUUAUAAAGGCUGUGUCUACUGUUAACUGAAGGAAGUCUCUUCCCCCUCAAAUGGCCUCAAUGGGAGCAAGUUUUAAGGGCAGACUUUUUCACUGGAAAUCACUUGUUUACAAAAUACUUCAUUCUUUUGUACAAAACAAUUCCAAACUUAAUUUUACUCCUGCAGAGUCAGAAAUAACAGUCUUGGGAUUCAGCGGUAAGAAGUAUUGAUAAACUACUAAAAAUCAGCAGCACAAAACUUCAAAUAGUCGUGCUAAAAGGUAGAGUAAAAAGGUAUUGGCACAUCAGUUUACAAAUUCCAAGGUAUGCAACUAUUAUUGUGAAAGGAUAAAAAGAUUAACAGUCUGUGGAUUGCCAGAGAACACAAAACACUGUCAACAUUUGAGCUGGCACAAUGGUUGAAUCAUACCCAUGGUGAUUCCCUUAUAGUGGAGAUGACCUUUUUUCUUUUUUUUUUAUUUUUUAUUUUUUUUGCCACUAGAGGUAGGUAAUUAUAUUCUCAGACAUAAAUUUGUGGUCAUAUUCAACCAUAUUUUUUUUUCUGGAAUAGUGUUGGUACUUUUACAAUACAGAAGUUUAGAUGUAGGCUUCUUUGUUUGCAGUGUUGCUCUGUUGGGCCUGGUCUGGCCCGUUUUCAGGAUGAGUGAUGUCUUCACUUGGCUGAAUCAUUACUUGGAUGCGCUGUUUGAAGAACAACAAUAAAUGUGAGGCAGUCAAAAAAUUGUUUCAAGGCUUCCUUUUUUCUUAAAGGCAAUCCUGAACACGAAGGGCCACCAAGAUGCUCAGAGGACUGGGAAGCCUGCCCUGUGAGGAUAGGCUGGGAGAACUGGGUUUGUUCAGCCUUGAGAAAAGGAGGCUCAGAGGGGCUCUCAUCACCGUGUACCAGUACUUAAGGGGCAGCUACAAAGAAGAUGGAGACUCCCUUUUUACAAGGAGUCACACGGAAAGGACAGGGGGAAUGGACACAAGUUGCUCUUGGGGAGAUUCCGAUUGGACACAAGAGGGAAAUUUUUCACAGUGAGGACAGUCAACCAUUGGAAUAAUCUCUCCAGGGAAGUGGUUGACUCGGCCAUGUUGGACACCUUCAGGAGUCAUCUGGACAAGGUGCUGGGCCAUCUUGUUUAGACUGUGCUCUUCCUAAAAAGGUUGGUCUAGAUGGUCCCUGAGGUCCCUUCCAACCUGUGAUUCUGUGAUUCUAUCUAGGCAUUAGAGCUAAACUGAAAAAAUUCUCUCUGUCUCCCAAGGGACUAUAAAGGCAAUAAGUCAUAUAUACUAAAACCAGUUUUAGCUGUGUUCUGAACAUGAGACUAGGCGUUGAAAGACCACAUGCAAAACAGUACAUGCCAUCAGGCAUUAGCAGCUGAACAUGCAUAGGGGAAAGAAAUGAGAGACUGGUGCGUGGGGCAGGUGAGGAGAGGCUCUGCUGCAAGCCCACAGGUCAAGCAUCAAGGCUGCAAGUUUGCAGUGGGUAACAGGAAGUCAAAGCUGGAUCUCAGAUGCAAUGGUGACCCUCCUCAGGGAGCAGAAGGGACUGGAGAGUAUUGGCUGCAGCUUCUGGGAGUUACUACCUUCAAGGAUACCACUGGUGUAAGGAGCUGGGAUGCAAAGUGUUUGGAACUGUCAAAGCCCAGAGAUAAGGACAACAUUUAAUGACAGUACAGGCAGUGUCUUGUCUUUUGUCUGUUUGGUACUUGUUUUUCAGCUCAAUGCAAAAUAACUGGGCUAAGCAAGUGAGGCCACAGGAAAGAUAUCAUAGAAAAUAGUUGCCCAGCAAUCAGUGUGCACAGGUCUUGCAAGAUAAAAUCAGUCUGAAGAAACAGAGACUUACCUGUUUU